GGCGUAGGCCUUUCAUAUCCCUGUUUACUGAUAGCUUUCAUCAACUCAGCAGAAAAACCAGUGUCUUCAAAUGUCUUAAUUGGCCUUGGUACAUCAAAGCCUGAUACACGAAUGGCCAAGCCUGUCCUAUAUUCAUUAACUUCCUGAUCGCUCAUACCUGAAAUAGAAGGCUUUUCCUCGUAAAAAUCCUUGUUGAAAGGCUCAUAGUCAAUCUCACUAUGAUCCAGAGCAGUAAUCGGCUCAAUCUUCUUUUUAUCAACAACAAUAGGAUUAUCGUCGGAGUCAUACUCAACUAAUCCUGCAUCAAC
RNAcentral lists this unclassified non-coding RNA (308 nucleotides) under Hevea brasiliensis (rubber tree). Lineage: Eukaryota; Viridiplantae; Streptophyta; Magnoliopsida; Malpighiales; Euphorbiaceae. The record is from RNAcentral.